UAUUAAAAAUUUCAUCCAUUCUUACUGUUUAAACUUAGUGUUGCUGACAAAAUAAUCAAACAGUUAUACGUGGCUCUCUCACGUAUGCCUCAUUCUGAUAUACAAAGACUAAACUUUAGAAAUAGAAAUGGAUGAAAUUUUUAACA
Gossypium raimondii (Peruvian cotton) is the source of this 146-nucleotide non-coding RNA. The record is from Rfam. NCBI's taxonomy places the organism in Eukaryota, Viridiplantae, Streptophyta, Magnoliopsida, Malvales, Malvaceae.